Molecule: ribosomal RNA, 311 nt
Filed under: uncultured bacterium
Lineage: Bacteria
Description: bacterial SSU rRNA
Rfam family: Bacterial small subunit ribosomal RNA
Source: RNAcentral
GAUCGAACGGACGUCGACGAGAAUGCUUAACACAUGCAAGUACGACGUCGAGGUCUUACGGGACGUUGGGUAGGCGGCACGGGUGAGUAACGCGUAAAGAACUUGCCUCUUAGACCGGGACAACAUUUGGAAACGGAUGCUAAUACCGGAUAUUAUGGUCUCUUCGCAUGGGGGAACCAUGAAAGCUACAUGCGCUAAGAGAGAGCUUUGCGUCCCAUUAGCUCGUUGGUGAGGUAACGGCCCACCAAGGCAAUGAUGGGUAGCCGGCCUGAGAGGGUGAACGGCCACAGGGGGACUGAGACACGGCCCUU